AAGCCACGGAUCCUGGAAUCGAUACAAAAACAUGUCAAAUAAACGAAUAAUCAAAAACGCUACCUAAAGUGUGGCAAAAUUUGGAACCAUGGAGUAUUGUAGAGCAAACAUGGAGACACAAUUUCUUUAAGAAUGGAAGACGUUGAAUGACCACUUUUUAAGCAUUCAGUUGGUUAUUCUUUGAUUGAAAUUGACUUCGAAGCAAAAUUCCCAAAAAAAUCACAAAGCUUGUUGAAUGGAUGGCUUAAUUUUAUGAAGAAUAUAUGUAAGUAGUUCCAUAUAUGAAGGGGAAAAACAUGUUUGCUGAAAUUGAAAAAAAACCAAAUUCCGGUAAUUAAAUAUUUUGUUAUACAGCCCGCGACAAAACGAUGACAUCUCAACAUACUAGCAGACCCGGCGAA
This is a long non-coding RNA of Rhagoletis pomonella (apple maggot), 401 nucleotides long. RefSeq lists it as uncharacterized. NCBI's taxonomy places the organism in Eukaryota, Metazoa, Arthropoda, Insecta, Diptera, Tephritidae. The record is from RefSeq and is a predicted model, not a curated record. The transcript is spliced from 3 exons.